UAGAUUGAAGCCAGUUAACUAGGGUGUUUAGCUGUUAACUAAAGUUU
This 47-nucleotide transfer RNA is filed under the name Bos primigenius (aurochs). RNAcentral's name for it is "partial tRNA-Asn". The record is from RNAcentral. Lineage: Eukaryota; Metazoa; Chordata; Mammalia; Artiodactyla; Bovidae.